Long non-coding RNA from Sphaeramia orbicularis (orbiculate cardinalfish), 703 nucleotides. RefSeq lists it as uncharacterized. Lineage: Eukaryota; Metazoa; Chordata; Actinopteri; Kurtiformes; Apogonidae. The transcript is spliced from 2 exons. The record is from RefSeq and is a predicted model, not a curated record.
GAGGAGUUGAGAAGAACGCAAAAGAAGGAUGAAGACGACUGGAACCAAGACUUAUAUAUAUAUGACUGAUGAGAACCAGGGGGAGCAGAGGCUUCACUACAAUGAAGGAAAUUACUCUGACUUGGAAGAAGUGACCUCUCCAGUGUACCUGAGUGUGCUGAUGAUCCUCCUUCAUACAUUCAUGGUCUGGUCACUCCCAAUCCUUGUACCAGUGUCAUAAUGUGACUGGGACGCUGGACAGGUUUGGGGGGGGCUGUGCCAAUGACUAGAUGCUACAUGUGUUAUCAUCACCUCUGUUUACCCCUGUUUACUGUAACACCUUUGUUCUCAUAUUUUCAUGGUGAAUUCUAAUAAUUUUGUACCAGUGUCUAGAUGAAACUGGCAAUGAUGUCCACAAAGCUGUGGAAAUAAUUAUUAAUUAGCUUUCUUUAUUUUCUGUGGGAAGAUGUACAAAGCAUUAACUUGAAAGGAUGUUAAAAGUGAGCCAAAGUGACCAUCUGUCUUUUUAUUGUAUAUUUCUUUUUCUUUGACUGUUAUGUUACUAUAAUGGUAAGAAAAAUAGUGUAUGAAAAAAUACAUUUUCUGUCCGGAGCCUGUACAAUAACAUUACAUUUGAAAAAGGAAUUGUGUCACUGGUGUUACCAUGGAAUAAAGAAGUAUAACAAAAAAUUUUUAAUAAAAAAAAACAAAAACAAAAACACAA